Molecule: long non-coding RNA, 715 nt
Filed under: Vulpes vulpes (red fox)
Lineage: Eukaryota; Metazoa; Chordata; Mammalia; Carnivora; Canidae
Description: lncRNA (ENSVVUG00000021189.1)
Source: RNAcentral
GCGAAAUACAAGGAGAGACACAAUUAUAUUCAUUGCAAGUGAAAAUUAAAGCAAUAAAUCUAAAAAAUGAAAUGACCCUCUGUCACUAUCAGUGUGUCACUAUUAGUGUUCACACUGAAUAAGAUGAGCAACUGGAGAGUCAUGAAUAUGAUCAGGUCUCUGAUCAGUCAAUGGCAAAACAAUGGGAGUUCUGGGCUGCUCUUCUCCACCAUGGAAACAAAAGGGGUUUUGGCGUCAGGUACCAGCGGAGGCAGCACAAGCUGUAUGGGGCUCUAUGUAACAUAGGGUGGAGGGGGAGAAAAAUGUGCUGGGAGCCAGAAAGGGCUGCCAGUACCAGCUGUUAUGAUACCAAACAGGAAGACGAGCUGUCCAUGCAUUCCUGCCAACUCUGAGGUCCAGUCUGUGGCCAGAAUGGAACUGAGCACUGCAAUGCAUGUUCUUCAACUGUAAACAUAGAGAUGCUUAUAUAAACUUGAAGGAUGACUGUGAAGGUGAGUAUAGGCAAUUUGAUGCACAGAGUAAGGCUGCUCUUACUUCUGGGGAAGGACUGAAGAAGAGUCAUCACAAAGUGGAAGGUAAAGGGGUGAAGCUGAAUAAGAAUGGGCUUAACAUGCUGGCUUCUUAGCCACUGCUGUAGCUGACAACAAAAGAAGAUAAGGAAAUCCCAAGAGAACUAGAGGGGGAGAAACAGUCUAGAGCCUCCAAGCUAAUGGAA